Small nuclear RNA from Salvia splendens (bonfire salvia), 103 nucleotides. NCBI's taxonomy places the organism in Eukaryota, Viridiplantae, Streptophyta, Magnoliopsida, Lamiales, Lamiaceae. The record is from RefSeq and is a predicted model, not a curated record.
AGUCCCUCCGGGAAUAUCCAAUAAAAUUGGUACGAUAUAGAGAAUAUUAACAUGACCCAUGCUUAAGAUGACAUACAUCAAUCGAGAAAUAUAUUAUUAUUAG